AUGGGUGACAUUUGAGUCUCUGAACAUCUCUCUUGUGAAGAUUUGUGAUAUGUGUGUGUCUUUCUCGGGGGAAGUGUGGCCUGUCAGGCUCGUCCAGCUAUUGUGUCAGUGGAUAUGAAGCGAAAGUGAUAAAGUGUCUUUUGUGUGCCUGUGGUUUUGUGCGGAUCUCUCUCUGGCAGUGACCCCUGGCUGGCCUCCCCUGCGCAGAUCUGGCAGGUUUACGUGCAUUACUUGCAAAGGAUGGACCUGAGCUGUUGUGUUGUGGUGCUCUGAGCUGGCAUUCGCUGCUUCUGCGCGGCACACAAGCCAUUCGCAGGGUCAAGUGCUACACGUCGCAUCCCCUCGAGCUCCAGGUGGAUCCAGCUGAAGUUUUCGCUCUGCCGGCUCAGGGAGUUCAGGAUAUUCGUGUGGGCCUGAGGGCUCUGAGGCCUGGAAGUCGCUUCUUUUACCUCAGUGUUGUUGAUGUGGACACGCGGCAGCUUGUGGACUCCUGGCUGCUGUGCAUAACAUGCCGACAGCCUGUAAUCUCCAAGGCAUUCGAAAUCAGCGUUCCUGUAGAAGGAGGGAAGGGCAGCAAUAAAAAAAUCAGUUUCACAAACCCCUACUCGUCCUCCAGAGUCUUCAAUCUGCGCACAGACCGCCCGGACCUGCUACACUU
Long non-coding RNA from Danio aesculapii, 658 nucleotides. RefSeq lists it as uncharacterized. The transcript has 3 exons. Lineage: Eukaryota; Metazoa; Chordata; Actinopteri; Cypriniformes; Danionidae. The record is from RefSeq and is a predicted model, not a curated record.